GAGCAGAGCUUUUGUGCCUAUAAACUGGACCAGUCCAAGGCUUACGAUCGGGUAGAUUGGGUUUUCUUGGAGCGAGUGAUGCAACAGAUGGGUUUCUCUCAUCGAUGGGUGGAUUGGAUAAUGAGGUGUGUCACCUCGUUGAGGUAUUGCGUGAAAGUCAAUGGAGCCUUCUCGGAUUCAUUCGCACCGUCUCGUGGACUACGGCAGGGAGACCCCCUCUCACCUUUCUUAUUCCUUUUUGUUGUCGAUAGUCUUGAUGCUAUUCUUUUUUUUUUGAAAACCACCACAUAUAGUAUUGAUUAA
This 303-nucleotide ribosomal RNA is filed under the name Triticum aestivum (bread wheat). Its description in RNAcentral is "partial small subunit ribosomal RNA". The record is from RNAcentral. Lineage: Eukaryota; Viridiplantae; Streptophyta; Magnoliopsida; Poales; Poaceae.